Molecule: non-coding RNA, 971 nt
Organism: Ictidomys tridecemlineatus (thirteen-lined ground squirrel)
Lineage: Eukaryota; Metazoa; Chordata; Mammalia; Rodentia; Sciuridae
Source: RefSeq, a predicted model, not a curated record
GUCAGAGUUUUCAUUUGUUUUAUCUCCUGAUGUGAGAUCUAAAUAAGUAUGUAGAACACUUAAAAUUCUUACCAUUUCUCUGCUUUCUGAGAAAUAAAUCUCAUGCAUACUGCACAAUAUAUUUUCUUACGCAUAACAUGCUUCCAUGUAAUGAGAAAAAAAAAAACUAAUUUGAGGAAGAAUCCUGUGUACUUCCUGCAGACAUAAAGCAGAAGUAUUAACCCAGAGGAACACUGGUCCUUCUUUCAUCCUCAUCCUCACUGUCAUCUUCCUCAUAAUCAUUCUUGAAAAGCAUUUAAGUCUUCACCAGUACCAGGUGUGGUAUCAGGAGGUUCGCAAGUAACUACCACCUGAAGGUCAAGUUCUCUUUUGUGCCAUUUGAUUUGUGCAAACCACCACUCCAAAGGCCUCAUAGAAUUAAGCAGAAUGAGAUGCCUCAGUAUUGAAUUUAAAGACACUUAAGUUAUGAUGGAAAAGUAGAAUGCUCUUUCUCACCACUCAAAAUUGAAGAAGAUCAAGAACACUGGGCACCUUGCACUCUUCAAAGGCACUGAGCUGAGGGCAGCACCUGAAACAACUUUUCCCUGCCACCUACAGCCCUGAGACUGGAACAGGAAGAAAGUUCUCAUAGGAAAAUAAACUAGCUCAGUCCUCUUCCAACUAGUGUACUUACUUCUCUAUACUUUACUAGCUUUAUUGUUUUGCUCAGUUCCUGGGUAUUUCACUGUCUCAAUUCAGAUGACCCUCCUAAAAUCCAGUGAUUUCAUGUUUUGACAAUAAAAAGUUUUACCAUGUUAACCAAUGCCCUAAUGUGAAUGGGCAGGUAUUGGGGCUUCAGCAUUUCAUAUGUUACUUGCAGAUUUCAAACAGCUUUUUUUUGUGGUCAAAAUUCUCCUGUUUCGGACAGUAAGAGGUGAGUGGACAAUUGCCAAAUGCAACUUUCAAACUUAAUCUAGUCAGAUCAUUUAAAA